UUCAGAAACAACUGAUCUUUAUUUGAAAAAUAGAAUACAAAGUACAACAGAAAUGACGGAAGCAGAGCUUCCAGUGAACAGGCAAAACAAAUCUGACACAAGGGUAAAAAAAACAACAACAACAACAACAACAAUAAAAAUAAAGUGUCACUUAGCUUCUCAAGAGAAUCGGGCGAGCACUGGGCAGAAAUGGCUCAAGACUGAACACACUAGCUUUUUACACACAAACUUUUAUAGGGCAAAACACAGGUGUUGCUAAUCUAGCUUGAGUGGUGGCACAAUGUAGA
RNA transcript from Danio rerio (zebrafish), 287 nucleotides. It is a transcript of the gene named wu:fa10h04, with no coding region annotated. The record is from RefSeq and is marked provisional. Lineage: Eukaryota; Metazoa; Chordata; Actinopteri; Cypriniformes; Danionidae.